Molecule: ribosomal RNA, 440 nt
Filed under: uncultured bacterium
Lineage: Bacteria
Description: partial 16S ribosomal RNA
Rfam family: Bacterial small subunit ribosomal RNA
Source: RNAcentral
CCUACGGGAGGCAGCAGUGGGGGAUAUUGCACAAUGGAGGAAACUCUGAUGCAGCGACGCCGCGUGAGGGAAGACGGAUUUCGGUUUGUAAAGCUCUGUCAGUGGGGAAGAAAAUGACGGUACCUAAUGAGGAAGCCCCGGCUAACUACGUGCCAGCAGCCGCGGUAAUACGUAGGGGGCGAGCGUUUUCCGGAUUUACUGGGUGUAAAGGGAGCGUAGGCGGGAGGACAAGUCUGAAGUGAAAUGCACGGGCUUAACCCCGGAGCUGCGUUGGAAACUGUGGAGCUAGAGUGAAGGAGAGGCAAGUGGAAUUCCUAGUGUAGCGGUGAAAUGCGUAGAUAUUAGGAGGAACACCAGUGGCGAAGGCGGCCUACUGGACUGUAACUGACGCUGAGGCUCGAAAGCGUGGGGAGCAAACAGGAUUAGAUACCCUGGUAGUC